Long non-coding RNA from Oncorhynchus tshawytscha (Chinook salmon), 1391 nucleotides. The record is from Ensembl. NCBI's taxonomy places the organism in Eukaryota, Metazoa, Chordata, Actinopteri, Salmoniformes, Salmonidae.
GCUUUCCACCUGGCUACCCCUACCCCGGUCAACAGCCCUGCACCACCCACACUUGGCCAAGCCUACCCCAUUUCUCCUUCACCCAAAUCCAGAUAGCUGAUGUUCUGAAAGAGCUGCAAAAUCUGGACCCCUAUACAUCAGCCGGGCUAGACAAUCUGGAACCUCUCUUUCUAAAAUUAUCUGCCGAAAUUGUUACUACCCCUAUUACUAGCCUGUUCAACCUCUCUUUCCUAUCGUCUGAGAUUCCCAUAGAUUGGAAAGCUGCCACAGUCAUCCCCUUCUUCAAAGGGGGAGACACUCUAGACCCAAACUGCUACAGACCUAUAUCUAUCCUACCCUGCCUUUCUAAGGUCUUUGGAAGCCAAGUUAACAAACAGAUCACCGGGCCUCCUGGGUGGUGCAGUGAUUAAGGGCGCUGUACUGCAACGCCAACUGUGCCACCAUAGACUCUGGGUUCGCGUCCAGGCUCUGUCGUAACCGGCCGCGACCGGGAGGUCCGUGGGGCGACGCACAAUUGGCCUAGUGUCGUCUGGGUUAGGGAGGGUUUGGCCCGUAAGGGAGUUGUAGCGAUGAGACAAGACAGUAGCUACUAAACAAUUGGAUUACACAAAAUUGGGUAGAAUUUAAAAAAAAAAAAAAACAGAUCACUGACCAUUUCAAAUCCCUCCGCUAUACAAUCUGGUUUCCGAGCUGGUCAUCCGUGCACCUCAGUCACACUCAAUGUCCUAAAUGAUAUCAUGACCGCCAGCCGUAUUCAUCGACCUGGCCAAGGCUUUCAACUCUGUCAAUCACCACAUUCUUAUUGGCAGACUCAACAGCCUUGGUUUCUCAAAUGACUGCCUCACCUGGUUCACCAACUACUUUUCAGACAGAGUUCAGUGUGUCAAAUCGGAGGGCCUGUUGUCCAGACCUCUGGCAGUCUCUAUGGGGUGCCACAGGGUUCAAUUCUCAGGCCAACUCUCUUCUCUGUAUACAUCAAUGAUGUCGCUCUUGCUGCUGGUGAUUCUCUGAUCCACCUCUAUGCAGACAACACCAUUCUGUAUACUUCUGACCCUUCUUUGGACACUGUGGUAACUAACCUCCAGACAAGCUUUAAUGCCAUACAACACUCAUUCCGUGGCCUCCAACUGCUGUUAAAUUCAAGUAAAACUAAGCGCUUGCUCUUCAACUGAUUGCUUCCCGUUCAGCAUCACUACUCUGGACAGUUCUGACUUAUAAUAUGUGGACAACUACAAAUACCUAGGUGUCUGGUUAGACUGUAAACUCUCUUUCCAGACUCACAUUAAGCAUCUCCAAUCCAGAAAUUAAAUCUAGAAUCGGCUUCCUAUUUCGCAACAAAGCCUCCUUCACUCAUGCUGCCAAACAUACCCUCGUAAAACUGACUAUCCUAC